This 429-nucleotide ribosomal RNA is filed under the name uncultured Paracoccaceae bacterium. RNAcentral's name for it is "bacterial SSU rRNA". It matches the Rfam family "Bacterial small subunit ribosomal RNA", at positions 29 to 505 of the family's 1533-position model. Lineage: Bacteria; Pseudomonadati; Pseudomonadota; Alphaproteobacteria; Rhodobacterales; Paracoccaceae. The record is from RNAcentral.
AACGAACGCUGGCGGCAGGCUUAACACAUGCAAGUCGAGCGCACCUUCGGGUGAGCGGCGGACGGGUGAGUAACGCGUGGGAAUAUACCCAGAUCUACGGAAUAGCCUUUGGAAACGAAGCGUAAUACCGUAUACGCCCUUCGGGGGAAAGAUUUAUCGGAUUUGGAUUAGCCCGCGUUGGAUUAGGUAGUUGGUGGGGUAAUGGCCUACCAAGCCGACGAUCCAUAUCUGGUUUGAGAGGAUGAUCAGACACACUGGGACUGAGACACGGCCCAGACCCCUACGGGAGGCAGCAGUGGGGAAUCUUAGACAAUGGGCGCAAGCCUGAUCUAGCCAUGCCGCGUGAGUGACGAAGGCCCUAGGGUCGUAAAGCUCUUUCGCCAGGGAAGAUAAUGACGGUACCUGGUAAAGAAACCCCGGCUAACUCCG